AGUGAACGCUGGCGGUAGGCCUAACACAUGCAAGUCGAACGGCAGCACAGUAAGAGCUUGCUCUUACGGGUGGCGAGUGGAGGACGGGUGAGGAAUACAUCGGAAUCUACUUUUUCGUGGGGGAUAACGUAGGGAAACUUACGCUAAUACCGCAUACGACCUACGGGUGAAAGCAGAGGAUCUUCGGACCUUGCGCGAUUGAAUGAGCCGAUGUCGGAUUAGCUAGUUGGCGGGGUAAAGGCCCACCAAGGCGACGAUCCGUAGCUGGGCUGAGAGGAUGAUCAGGCACACUGGAACUGAGACACGGUCCAGACUCCUACGGGAGGCAGCAGUGGGGAAUAUUGGACAAUGGGCGCAAGCCUGAUCCAGCCAUACCGCGUGGGUGAAGAAGGCCUUCGGGUUGUAAAGCCCUUUUGUUGGGAAAGAAAAGCAGCAGGUUAAUACCCCGCUGUUCUGACGGUACCCAAAGAAUAAGCACCGGCUAACUUCGUG
Molecule: ribosomal RNA, 492 nt
Filed under: uncultured bacterium
Lineage: Bacteria
Description: partial 16S ribosomal RNA
Rfam family: Bacterial small subunit ribosomal RNA
Source: RNAcentral